RNAcentral lists this ribosomal RNA (377 nucleotides) under uncultured bacterium. Its description in RNAcentral is "bacterial SSU rRNA". It matches the Rfam family "Bacterial small subunit ribosomal RNA", at positions 27 to 394 of the family's 1533-position model. The record is from RNAcentral.
GGACGAACGCUGGCGGCGUGCCUAACACAUGCAAGUCGAGCGGGAACCGUCAGGAGGGGUAACCCUUCUGAGGGGAGAGCGGCGAACGGGUGAGUAACACGUGGGCAACCUGCCCCGGACACCGGGAUAACCCAGGGAAACCUGAGCUAAUACCGGAUACUCCGGCGCGAUCGCAUGGUCGUGCCGGGAAANCUCCGACGGUCCGGGAUGGGCCCGNGGCCUAUCAGCUUGUUGGUGGGGUAACGCCCACCAAGGCGACGACGGGUAGCUGGUCUGAGAGGACGGCCAGCCACACUGGGACUGAGACACGGCCCAGACUCCUACGGGAGGCAGCAGUGGGGGAUCUUGCGCUAAUGCGCGAAAGCGUGACGCAGCGA